GACAGAGGGUGCAAGCGUUGUUCGGAAUUACUGGGCGUAAAGGGCGUGUAGGCGGUGGGGUGUGUCCGAUGUGAAAGCCCCCGGCUCAACCGGGGAAUGGCAUUGGAAACUACCUCGCUCGAGUGUGGGAGAGGGUGGUGGAAUUCCCAGUGUAGAGGUGAAAUUCGUAGAUACUGGGAGGAACACCGGAGGCGAAGGCGGCCACCUGGUCCAUAACUGACGCUGAUACGCGAAAGCGUGGGUAG
This 245-nucleotide ribosomal RNA is filed under the name uncultured bacterium. RNAcentral's name for it is "partial 16S ribosomal RNA". It matches the Rfam family "Bacterial small subunit ribosomal RNA", at positions 524 to 768 of the family's 1533-position model. The record is from RNAcentral.